GAUCUUGGUUCAGGAUGAACGCUGGCGGCGUGCCUAACACAUGCAAGUCGAGCGAUUCUCUUCGGAGAAGAGCGGCGGACGGGUGAGUAACGCGUGGGUAACCUGCCUCAUACACAUGGAUAACAUACCGAAAGGUAUGCUAAUACAGGAUAAUAUAAGAGAUUCACAUGGAUUUCUUAUCAAAGCUCCGGCGGUAUGAGAUGGACCCGCGUCUGAUUAGCUAGUUGGUAAGGUAACGGCUUACCAAGGCGACGAUCAGUAGCCGACCUGAGAGGGUGAUCGGCCACAUUGGAACUGAGACACGGUCCAAACUCCUACGGGAGGCAGCAGUGGGGAAUAUUGCACAAUGGGCGAAAGCCUGAUGCCAGCAACGCCGCGUGAGUGAUGAAGGCCUUCGGGUCGUAAAGCUCUGUCCUCAAGGAAGAUAAUGACGGUACUUGAGGAGGAAGCCCCGGCUAACUACGUGCCAGCCGCCGC
RNAcentral lists this ribosomal RNA (477 nucleotides) under uncultured bacterium. Its description in RNAcentral is "bacterial SSU rRNA". It matches the Rfam family "Bacterial small subunit ribosomal RNA", at positions 15 to 518 of the family's 1533-position model. The record is from RNAcentral.